UCGUUGGCUUACCUGAAGGUCUGGAAGGAGGUUCACCAUUGGAAUUCAUUUCGAAGAUUCUCCAAACAGUUAUUGGAAGAGAUGUUUUCCCCAAAUAUCCAGAGUUGGACAGAGCACACCGUACACUAGCUCCGAAGCCUGCCAGAGGACAACGUCCGCGAGCCAUCAUCGUUAGAUUCCAUCGUUAUCAGGAUAAGGAACGUGUGCAAGAUCGCAGAGGGAAGACAUGAAGUUCGACGGCAACAGAAUCCUGUUUUUCCCUGAUAUGAGUGCAAGCCUAGCCAAGCAACGAGCGACAUUCAAGGACAUCAAGGCCAAACUCUAUGCCGAUGGAAUUGCGUUCUCCCUACGCCACCCUGCUCGCCUGUGCAUCACCGUCAACGGGGACAAACAUCUCUUCGACACCCUGCAGCAGCAGAAACAUUCUACGAUCAGAUAAAAGGGAACUUUCCAGCCAACACUGAUGAAGAACAAGGCUAAAUGAUGCCUGCCACAUUUGAAAGGUUUGAAAUAUGCCAACAGUUUGGGUGAUAGGCUAUUACAUGCUGAUCUUGGAUAAUUGAUAGAUCGCCUGAAUCGCGCUUUAGACUGAAACUUAAAGGCGAGUUUUGUGUUCAAUAACCGUAUCUACUAGGGUGAAUUGGGUAAGCGUAGGAAGAGAUUUAUUUUAGAAAAAAAGAAUGUUUUAUUAAAAGUGCACUUAUGUAUGCGUUCAGUUAUGGGAGCAAAUUCCUUCGUUUGUUAGAUAAAGGAAUCGUUUGUACUGCAUUGUUAGGAGUGGAAUUGUGUAGUAGACCUGCAGCUCGCUUCCAAGGAAGGACGAGCAUAGGCUUUGAAGACACCGGCAGACUGUUCUAAUGCUGCUGGGCUUAUUCUUUUUCUGUUUUUCUUUAUGGGGAGGGAUAUGCAGGGGAUAAGUGGAGGGUGUUCAGAAGACUGAGAGCUGAUGGGGAAAUUUCUCAUGCAGGGAAAGAGAGAGGGAGAGAGAGUGAGGCUUUUUGGCUUUUGCUGAGUUACGGGCAGAAAUUGCUGGAGUACACAGGUGUCUUGGGAAAAUUACAGUUCUCUUUGCUUUCUGAGGUUUCUCCAUCUAUCCAUCCAUUAGGGGGUGUAGCGAUACACACAUUUCUUUGCGUUUUGACACGGUUCGAUACAGAGGCCUUU
This is a long non-coding RNA of Clupea harengus (Atlantic herring), 1164 nucleotides long. The record is from Ensembl. Lineage: Eukaryota; Metazoa; Chordata; Actinopteri; Clupeiformes; Clupeidae.